AGGCCAGACUCCUACGGGAGGCAGCAGUGAGGAAUAUUGGUCAAUGGGCGGGAGCCUGAACCAGCCAAGCCGCGUGAAGGAAGAAGGCGCCAAGCGUCGUAAACUUCUUUUGUCGGGGAACAAAGGGCGCCACGUGUGGCGUUGUGAGUGUACCCGAAGAAAAAGCAUCGGCUAACUCCGUGCCAGCAGCCGCGGUAAUACGGAGGAUGCGAGCGUUAUCCGGAUUUAUUGGGUUUAAAGGGUGCGUAGGCGGUCCGGAAAGUCAGCGGUAAAAGCCCGGGGCUCAACCCCGUCCGGCCGUUGAAACUGGGGGCCUUGAGUGGGCGAGAAGAAGGCGGAAUGCGUGGUGUAGCGGUGAAAUGCAUAGAUAUCACGCAGAACCCCGAUUGCGAAGGCAGCCUUCCGGCGCCCUACUGACGCUGAGGCACGAAAGUGCGGGGAUCGAACAGGAUUAGAUACCCGUGUA
Molecule: ribosomal RNA, 466 nt
Filed under: uncultured bacterium
Lineage: Bacteria
Description: partial 16S ribosomal RNA
Rfam family: Bacterial small subunit ribosomal RNA
Source: RNAcentral